Molecule: long non-coding RNA, 895 nt
Filed under: Homo sapiens (human)
Lineage: Eukaryota; Metazoa; Chordata; Mammalia; Primates; Hominidae
Description: HSALNT0342317
Source: RNAcentral
AGUCGCUCGUCUCUCUCCUCCGAGCUGUAGAUCUCCUGCCGCAGCUUUUCCGCCGCCCGGAUGUAGUCCCCCCGCGCCGAGUACACCCACUGCAGGGUCAGCCCGCGGGCCUGGGGUGGGGAGGCGCGGGCUGGGGCUGGCGGCAGGGGCCAGGACCCCCGCCUAGCAUGGGGACAAGGACCCCCGCCUAGCAUGGGGAAGGGGGCUGGGACCCCUGGCCGCAGGAGGGAGGAGGUAGACGAGGACAGAGUGCUGGAGGCAGGAUGAAGGGAGUGGGGAGAAGAUCCUGCACCUGCCAGGUUGGGCGAUGGCACAUGCUGGGGGCUGGGAGACUGGAGGCAGGGGGUUAAUGGGCUGGAUUGCCAGAGAGGACCUAGACCCCAGGGAAUGCAGAGAGAAGGGGCUGGACCCCCUGGCCUGGGCAGUGCCUCCCACUCCCAGAGACCAAGAGCGGGGUGGGCCUCUUGAACCUUGAGGUCCCCAGAGAACUCGUUGAGGUUCCCGAUGUGCCUGAGGACGACGUCCCCGUAGCGGCCGAAGUCGAGGGGCAGCAGGCGAUCGUGGCUGAGCCGGAUGAGGAGCUGCCCUGCGAGCUGGGCCACGGCCUGGGCCACGGCGGGCAGGCGGCCUUGCAGCACCUUAUGCAGGUUCUCAUAAGUGUCCUCCUUUGUGUGCAGGAAUGGGUAGGCCUGGUCGUCCUGCCAGGACAGGGUGGACGCUGGGGCGGAGGCAGACAGGCUGAAGGACUAGCGCUGUGUCUGGGGCAGGGGGAGGACGUCUCACCUCCAUAAAGGAGAACUCGACGGCAGGGACUCCCACAAAGGCCGUGAAGGAAUAGGCACUGCUGUCCAUGGGUAGGGGCCGGAUCCUGGGGGCAGGUGGGUUGGAGCGAUCU